This 331-nucleotide unclassified non-coding RNA is filed under the name soil metagenome. Its description in RNAcentral is "partial contains 5.8S ribosomal RNA, internal transcribed spacer 2, and large subunit ribosomal RNA". The stretch from base 1 to 120 matches the Rfam family "5.8S ribosomal RNA", at positions 35 to 154 of the family's 154-position model. The record is from RNAcentral.
GAUGAAGAACGUAGUGAAAUGCGAUAAGUAAUGUGAAUUGCAGAAUUCAGUGAAUCAUCGAAUCUUUGAACGCACAUUGCGCCCCCUGGUAUUCCGGGGGGCAUGCCUGUUCGAGCGUCAUUUCACCACUCAAGCCUCGCUUGGUAUUGGGCAACGCGGUCCGCCGCGUGCCUCAAAUCGACCGGCUGGGUCUUCUGUCCCCUAAGCGUUGUGGAAACUAUUCGCUAAAGGGUGUUCGGGAGGCUACGCCGUAAAACAACCCCAUUUCUAAGGUUGACCUCGGAUCAGGUAGGGAUACCCGCUGAACUUAAGCAUAUCAAUAGGCGGAGGA